This 468-nucleotide ribosomal RNA is filed under the name uncultured bacterium. Its description in RNAcentral is "partial 16S ribosomal RNA". It matches the Rfam family "Bacterial small subunit ribosomal RNA", at positions 28 to 507 of the family's 1533-position model. The record is from RNAcentral.
GACGAACGCUGGCGGCGUGCUUAACACAUGCAAGUCGAACGGAAAGGCCCUGCUUUUGUGGGGUGCUCGAGUGGCGAACGGGUGAGUAACACGUGAGUAACCUGCCCUUGACUUUGGGAUAACUUCAGGAAACUGGGGCUAAUAUCGGACAGGAGCUCCUGCUGCAUGGAGGGGGUUGGAAAGUUUCGGCGGUUGGGGAUGGACUCGCGGCUUAUCAGCUUGUUGGUGGGGUAGUGGCUUACCAAGGCUUUGACGGGUAGCCGGCCUGAGAGGGUGACCGGCCACAUUGGGACUGAGAUACGGCCCAGACUCCUACGGGAGGCAGCAGUGGGGAAUAUUGCACAAUGGGCGGAAGCCUGAUGCAGCAACGCCGCGUGCGGGAUGACGGCCUUCGGGUUGUAAACCGCUUUCGCCUGUGACGAAGCGUGAGUGACGGUAAUGGGUAAAGAAGCACCGGCUAACUACGUG